CCUUGUAGCACUUAUUUGGGCAAGAGGGUUUUCAUGGGAUUUUUCAGCUGAAGUCCUAGUGCUAAUGGUGGUUAGUGCUAUAAUAGGAGUAAUGGGCUAUUGGCACGACACAUACCCAUUUUGGACUUUUAUCUUGGCAUUUUCUUUUUACCCAUUAUCUCUGGUGCUCUUCUAUGUAAUUCGUUUUCUUCUAGGCUGGAAAUAAGGCUUGAAAGAAGUCUGACCCUAUGUAUAAUUGCGUGUUAUUGCGUUCUUCAAAUGUGUUGUAUUAUCUAUGUUGAUUUUACUUUUUCUAUUCUUUCGCAGUUUUGAGACUCUUAACACUAUUUACGUGAAACGAACGCAAUCAAUU
Molecule: unclassified non-coding RNA, 352 nt
Filed under: Hevea brasiliensis (rubber tree)
Lineage: Eukaryota; Viridiplantae; Streptophyta; Magnoliopsida; Malpighiales; Euphorbiaceae
Source: RNAcentral